AUAUGAUGCUGUUUAUUAUCCUCCUUCGUGUACAUCAGUCCUCAGACCUGACAGAUAGACUUUAUUAACUCCUGAAAAGUUCAGGACUUUGUCACAGUUUAAGUGUUUAAGAGCAGUAGCUGAACCAGGAGAACCUGUUGGACUACUAGCAGCACAAUCGAUUGGUGAACCUUCCACUCAGAUGACAUUGAAUACAUUUCAUUUUACCAGUAGAGAAGAAAUGAACGUCACACUAGGGAUACCAUGUCUAAGAGAGAUAUUACUGUUAUCAAAACUUUGGUUACAGUGGGAUGUGUAGCAUAACAAUAACUGCAAUAACUACAUGGAUAA
This is a long non-coding RNA of Amphimedon queenslandica, 330 nucleotides long. RefSeq lists it as uncharacterized. The record is from RefSeq and is a predicted model, not a curated record. NCBI's taxonomy places the organism in Eukaryota, Metazoa, Porifera, Demospongiae, Haplosclerida, Niphatidae. The transcript has 4 exons.